GAUGAACGCUAGCGGGAGGCCUAACACAUGCAAGCCGAGCGGUAUUGUUUCUUCGGAAAUGAGAGAGCGGCGUACGGGUGCGUAACACGUGUGCAACCUGCCUUUAUCUGGGGGAUAGCCUUUCGAAAGGAAGAUUAAUACUCCAUAAUAUAUUGAACGGCAUCGUUUAAUAUUGAAAGCUCCGGCGGAUAGAGAUGGGCACGCGCAAGAAUAGCUAGUUGGUGAGGUAACGGCUCACCAAGGCGAUGAUCUUUAGGGGGCCUGAGAGGGUGAUCCCCCACACUGGUACUGAGACACGGACCAGACUCCUACGGGAGGCAUCAGUGAGGAAUAUUGGUCAAUGGGUGCAAGCCUGAACCAGCCAUCCCGCGUGAAGGACGACUGCCCUAUGGGUUGUAAACUUCUUUUGUAUAGGGAUAAACCUACCCUCGUGAGGGUAGCUGAAGGUACUAUACGAAUAAGCACCGGCUAACUCCGUGCCAGCCGCCGCUGUAA
Molecule: ribosomal RNA, 495 nt
Filed under: uncultured bacterium
Lineage: Bacteria
Description: partial 16S ribosomal RNA
Rfam family: Bacterial small subunit ribosomal RNA
Source: RNAcentral